This is a non-coding RNA of Pristionchus pacificus, 45 nucleotides long. NCBI's taxonomy places the organism in Eukaryota, Metazoa, Nematoda, Chromadorea, Rhabditida, Neodiplogasteridae. The record is from Rfam.
CAAACGGCCCUCUUUAGGGCCGCACACCUAUUCCAAACCAAGUUG